This 1026-nucleotide ribosomal RNA is filed under the name Triticum aestivum (bread wheat). Its description in RNAcentral is "partial small subunit ribosomal RNA". The record is from RNAcentral. Lineage: Eukaryota; Viridiplantae; Streptophyta; Magnoliopsida; Poales; Poaceae.
AUGCUGCCGCCGAGCCGGCGCCCGCCCGCGCCCGGCUCGCCCACGCACGCGCCGCGGAGCCACCACAGCGCCGACCUGUCGGCGAGGAGCCCCAGGCGGAUCCGCCUCAUGCACGCCGCCGCGUCGAGGCUGCUGGAGCCGGGCGCGCGCGAGCUCGAGGGCCGGCGCCAGGCUGCAGGCCAUCGCGUACGCCUGCUCCUCGCCGCAGCACCGCGGCCACCCCGGCGCCCCGCAGCAGAGCUGGGGCACGCCAGGCUGCAAACCAGACGAACUAUUCCGACUCAUCGGCUCCUCUCAUUAAUGCUGAGACUAUAUAUAAUUCCAAUGAUCAAUCACCUGAGUUUCACAAGAGCUAUCAGGGUGACCAAGGGGCUGAUUCUCCUGCUAUGUGCACAAAUGACGAGCCCAAUCAGCCGAGCCCAACAUCUGUCCUCGAAGCAUGCUUCUCACACGAUGCUUCCUCCUCAGGAAGUCCAACUGAAAAGAUCGAGUUCUCCAGUGCAUGAUUUUGAGUUCCUAGAAGGCAGGCUCCACAGCAUCGGAGAAGCCAUUGCAAAUGUUGAGCUACUUCUGGACAGCAGCCUCUUCUGUGGCACACCGUCAAGUCUAUCACUCCAUUCAUUCAUAGUUGAGAUGCUGGAGACCGUUGAGGCCGUCUUUGGCGAUGGAUCAGAGAGCAGCUUCGGCUUCCAGGAAGAAAACAACUUUCAACGCACCAACUUCCUGUUCGACUGCAUCGUCGAGUCGCUGGACUCGAAGUUCCGCGACUUCGGGAAAUGCGGGUACAAGGCUUUGUUGCGAAUGCCUCUCACCAUGAGCAAAGACCUGCUGAAGAGGGAGAUAUCCAAAGAGAUCGGCAGCUGGAGCGAUGUUUCAUCGGACCGUGCUGCGGAGAAGGAGCUGGACCAGGUGGCAGCGGCAAGGUGUGACAGGUGCCGGACCGAGGCGUUCGACAUCAGCGUCGCCAUCGAGGACGACAUACUCGAGGCCCUCGUCGGUGAGUUCGCCUUCGACCAAUGCUGCUGA